RNAcentral lists this long non-coding RNA (397 nucleotides) under Androctonus crassicauda. Lineage: Eukaryota; Metazoa; Arthropoda; Arachnida; Scorpiones; Buthidae. The record is from RNAcentral.
UUGCAAUUUUUCCAUUAUAUAUUCUGAUUCUAGUUCUUGAACAUUAUCUAUUUUAUUUAGUUUUAUCAAAAUAGAUAUGCCUAUACCAGACUAUUUUUGAGAAUAUAAUACUUUAUUGUCUGACCAAAUGAAAAUGUGGAAGGUGCAGAAUGAAUUAGUAUCAAAAGUCAAAUAUUUUGAUAAAGACCGCGCCGCAAAGUCCGAGAGAGCGGCUGUCUAUGAGAUCCCUGUUGAAUAUCCUCUGCACAAUAGGAAGUCUUCGUACAUAGGAGUCACAACCAGGACCUUGUUCAGAGGGUUGAUGAGCACAAAAAAGACCUUAAAGCAGGCACACUAACAACUGUGUUAGCGUGAGAAGCUUACAGCAAUGACAUCCGUGUCAACUGGAAUCAGAGAU